Molecule: ribosomal RNA, 275 nt
Filed under: uncultured Sandaracinobacter sp.
Lineage: Bacteria; Pseudomonadati; Pseudomonadota; Alphaproteobacteria; Sphingomonadales; Sphingosinicellaceae
Description: partial 16S ribosomal RNA
Rfam family: Bacterial small subunit ribosomal RNA
Source: RNAcentral
CCUACGGGGGGCUGCAGUGGGGAAUAUUGGACAAUGGGCGAAAGCCUGAUCCAGCAAUGCCGCGUGAGUGAAGAAGGCCUUCGGGUUGUAAAGCUCUUUUACCCGGGAAGAUAAUGACUGUACCGGGAGAAUAAGCCCCGGCUAACUCCGUGCCAGCAGCCGCGGUAAUACGGAGGGGGCUAGCGUUGUUCGGAAUUACUGGGCGUAAAGCGCACGUAGGCGGCUUUACAAGUCAGGGGUGAAAGCCUGCGGCUCAACCGCAGAAUUGCCCUUGA